UUAGAAGCUUAGAGGUGAGUUAAUUCAAGUUCAUUUGUCGAGGUAAGUAACUUCAUUCCUAGUAUAUUAGAUAUGUAUAAGUAUUUUGAUAUUAUUAUUAUAAGUAUAAAUGUUUUUAUACUGCUUAAAGGAUUAAUUGAUUUUGAUAACAAAAUUAGUUUUAUGUAAAUGUUUUAAAGCUAAAUUCUCUUUAACAAAGUAUUUUAUAAAUGCUUUUGAAUAUGUAAGUUAUUUUGUUACAUGCCUACUUUUAUGAUUUUAUUUAUAAAAUGUUAUGCAAGCCUAAAUUAUUGUUAUGAACUUUUAUAAAUCUGAUACGAAUGUUUUGUACCCAUGUAUGAUUUCGAUUAUUGAUGAUUGUAUGAGAUUCCUAAUGUUUUGGCUCAUUGUCCAUAGUUAUUCUGAUUCUGAUUCUGAUCGUAAUAUACGAUAUAUCUGUCUGGACCAGUACUGGGUUUAUGUUCUGAGUGUGCACACAAUAUUCUGAUUCUGUUUCUGGCCGGGUCACCGGGACUAUAGGUGACACUAUGUGACAUGAGCUAACCUUUUUGUUUUCUGAAUACGUACUACAUGAUUUGCUUCGUAAGUAAAUAUGCUUUUGAAUAUUCUGAAUUAUUAAGAAUUUAUCUUAUGUUAUCGUGAUAUAUCGUUUCAUGAAAAUUAUGGAUUAUGAUAUAUGUUUUAAACAAAAGAAGGCUUGCAAUAUUUUUGGUAUCGAUGGGCCUAGUGUGUUAGGCAUGGCUUUACUUACUGAGUUGACGGCUCACCCCUCGUCAUUACUUUUUGCAGAUUAAGUUUCUUUUGAGAGGUGUGCUUGGCUUUGGAGCUAAUAAGUUUCAGUUUCCAUUUGCCAUUGAAUAAGAGGAGGAAUAGACUCGUGUUUCUACUUAGUUAUUUCUUUU
Molecule: long non-coding RNA, 902 nt
Filed under: Citrus maxima (pomelo)
Lineage: Eukaryota; Viridiplantae; Streptophyta; Magnoliopsida; Sapindales; Rutaceae
Description: long non-coding RNA (CMAX_LNC002376)
Source: RNAcentral